GUGUACUGGGCAUGGUUGAGAAAGUCCCUCUGUGCUAGGAGUCUGUAGUCAGGGGUGUUUGUGUGUGCGUUAAUGAGUAACCGACUUCGAGUAUCACAAACACCGCUACUGUUCAGAAGAGCGACUCCGAAGUGAUCCCAGUGUACUGGGCAUGGUUGAGAAAUUCCCUCUGUACGAGGAGUCUGUAGUCAGGUGUGUUUGUGUGUGCGUUAAUGAGUAACCGACUUCGAGUAUCACAAACACCGCUACUGUUCAGAAGAGCAACUUCGAGGUGAUCCCAGUGUACUGGGCAUGGUUGAGAAAUUCCCUCUGUACGAGGAGUCUGUAGUCAGGGGUGUUUGUGUGUGCGUUAAUGAGUAACCGACUUCGAGUAUCACAAACACCGCUACUGUUCAGAAGAGCGACUCCGAAGUGAUCCCAGUGUACUGGGCAUGGUUGAGAAAUAUCGUUAAGGUGUCAAGUUUGGUGAACCGGCGAU
Eriocheir sinensis (Chinese mitten crab) is the source of this 478-nucleotide long non-coding RNA. RefSeq lists it as uncharacterized. The transcript has 3 exons. The record is from RefSeq and is a predicted model, not a curated record. NCBI's taxonomy places the organism in Eukaryota, Metazoa, Arthropoda, Malacostraca, Decapoda, Varunidae.